This 505-nucleotide long non-coding RNA is filed under the name Linum usitatissimum (flax). Its description in RNAcentral is "long non-coding RNA (LUSI_LNC005585)". Lineage: Eukaryota; Viridiplantae; Streptophyta; Magnoliopsida; Malpighiales; Linaceae. The record is from RNAcentral.
CCAAAUUCACAUGCAUUCAGACACAAUCUUCAAAGAACACUAAUAGAUUAAAUUCAAACAGAAUAAGUGGCAACUUAAGAACCUAACACUUUCGAGCAUUCAACUCCUCGUCAAGGCUUCCGAUUCUUCUUGUCUAGCUCCAGAUGUUCGACAAAGCACCAGUGAACCCUGAUCGAAACCUCGGCUGUUGAAUCUCAAGCUCCAAUCGUACAGAAACCCUCCGAUAUGCACACUCAGCUCUCCUAUUAUUCCCGGUGGAAAGUGCAACUUGGGAAGUCGAUGCAGCUUGUAUUUAUUGCUGCCUGAGCAUGCCUCUUGCUGAUGAAGAACACAAGUGACGAAGCUUCCUUCUUUCCUUGCUUAGCUCCCGGUUUCUAGUAUCAGUAGAGACACCUUCUUUGAUUACUCGUGUCGGCAGCAACGACUAGCUCCAGUGAUGAUGCUAGGGGCUGAAGAAUGAUGUCGGCAUCAACAACAGCCUACCCAAGUCCUGAUUGCCGACUUG